This 666-nucleotide ribosomal RNA is filed under the name Pantoea stewartii. Its description in RNAcentral is "bacterial SSU rRNA". It matches the Rfam family "Bacterial small subunit ribosomal RNA", at positions 68 to 727 of the family's 1533-position model. The record is from RNAcentral. Lineage: Bacteria; Pseudomonadati; Pseudomonadota; Gammaproteobacteria; Enterobacterales; Erwiniaceae.
GCACAGAGGAGCUUGCUCCUCGGGUGACGAGUGGCGGACGGGUGAGUAAUGUCUGGGAAACUGCCCGAUGGAGGGGGAUAACUACUGGAAACGGUAGCUAAUACCGCAUAACGUCGCAAGACCAAAGUGGGGGACCUUCGGGCCUCACACCAUCGGAUGUGCCCAGAUGGGAUUAGCUUGUAGGCGGGGUAACGGCCCACCUAGGCGACGAUCCCUAGCUGGUCUGAGAGGAUGACCAGCCACACUGGAACUGAGACACGGUCCAGACUCCUACGGGAGGCAGCAGUGGGGAAUAUUGCACAAUGGGCGCAAGCCUGAUGCAGCCAUGCCGCGUGUAUGAAGAAGGCCUUCGGGUUGUAAAGUACUUUCAGCGGGGAGGAAGGUGYUGAGGUUAAUAACCUCAGCAAUUGACGUUACCCGCAGAAGAAGCACCGGCUAACUCCGUGCCAGCAGCCGCGGUAAUACGGAGGGUGCAAGCGUUAAUCGGAAUUACUGGGCGUAAAGCGCACGCAGGCGGUCUGUUAAGUCAGAUGUGAAAUCCCCGGGCUUAACCUGGGAACUGCAUUUGAAACUGGCAGGCUUGAGUCUCGUAGAGGGGGGUAGAAUUCCAGGUGUAGCGGUGAAAUGCGUAGAGAUCUGGAGGAAUACCGGUGGCGAAGGCGGCCC